GACGAACGCUGGCGGCGUGCCUAAUACAUGCCAGUUGAGCGCUGAAGGUUGGUACUUGUACCGACUGGAUGAGCAGCGAACGGGUGAGUAACGCGUGGGGAAUCUGCCUUUGAGCGGGGGACAACAUUUGGAAACGAAUGCUAAUACCGCAUAAAAACUUUAAACACAAGUUUUAAGUUUGAAAGAUGCAAUUGCAUCACUCAAAGAUGAUCCCGCGUUGUAUUAGCUAGUUGGUGAGGUAAAGGCUCACCAAGGCGAUGAUACAUAGCCGACCUGAGAGGGUGAUCGGCCACAUUGGGACUGAGACACGGCCCAAACUCCUACGGGAGGCAGCAGUAGGGAAUCUUCGGCAAUGGACGAAAGUCUGACCGAGCAACGCCGCGUGAGUGAAGAAGGUUUUCGGAUCGUAAAACUCUGUUGGUAGAGAAGAACGUGGGUGAGAGUGGAAAGCUCAUCAAGUGACGGUAACUACCCAGAAAGGGACGGCUAACUACGU
RNAcentral lists this ribosomal RNA (496 nucleotides) under uncultured bacterium. Its description in RNAcentral is "partial 16S ribosomal RNA". It matches the Rfam family "Bacterial small subunit ribosomal RNA", at positions 28 to 506 of the family's 1533-position model. The record is from RNAcentral.